Molecule: long non-coding RNA, 1518 nt
Organism: Dipodomys ordii (Ord's kangaroo rat)
Lineage: Eukaryota; Metazoa; Chordata; Mammalia; Rodentia; Heteromyidae
Exons: 6
Source: RefSeq, a predicted model, not a curated record
AAGUGAUCUGCUAAGAAGGAGGAACUAAGCUAUUGCAUUCUUCUAAGGGUUUGAGUUCCCAAAGUAGGGUCUGAAUCAUCCUGGGAAGCCGGGACACAUGCCAGGAUCCCAGACUCAAAUAGGCUGUUUCCGCUUGGGGAUUCGCUGUCUUGUGACGGAGAGAGAGGUGAGACCCUCCUGCUCUUUGUAACAUCAGAGAAAGUUGUGAAGUCUAUACUACUGAACCAAAAGCUGUUAAAGAAAAAAUAAAGUGUGCUAUCAAGCCUUCUAGACAGGUUAUAAGAACAAGCAUGAAGAGAUCAUGAGGACUUUAUAAAAAAUCUCUUGGAACAGAUUCUUAGAAGAGUGAGGGCUGGUCCCGAGAGAAGAUACUUACAUCCCGUAAAAGAGAAGAUUUUGAAAUGGAACAUCUGGAAUAUAGCAACAAGUAGUGGAUGUGACUCUUACCUCAUUCCUUUGAUUCAUUCCAUGUUCUUUUUUUCCCUAGUGUGACAUGGCUGAAAAAAUUUCUUAUUGAUCCCUCAAAACAACUAAUACAAAGAGCAAAAAUACUAAUGAGUCAUCUAGACUGACACAGGGGAUGAGGGUACUGGGCAAGGAUAACAUACCCUUCUACAGAAUCAGGACCUUGUGUGACUCCUUUCCCUUUCUUGGCCUCUGAUCUAAUAUAGAUGGACACUGGUACAGAAGGUACUAGCAAAAGGGAUUAGGGGUGUGGGUUUUGGAGUGAGAGGAACCAUUAAUUGAUGGUUGUAUGAUCUAUGGCAACUUAUUUGUCAUGUCCUGAUAAUUAAAGGUGUCUUUUUUUCCCUCAUCUUCCUCCUCUCCCACCUGCUCUCCUCCUUCUUUUUCCUAUUAUUCUACUGUACAUCCAAAAUUUGAAUGAUAGAAAAGUGGUUAUUACAUUUCCCACUUUUAUUUUCAUUGCAUGUUCCACAAACCUUUGAUUUUAUAACUUUUCAACUGACAAACAUGAGAAGAGUCAGACAUAUACCAUUACUUUUAUAUUACAGAUAUAGCAUCUCUAAUCAGAUAUAUUAUUCAAACAGUGGACUUCAUUAGCUAGAAGACUCAUUAAAAGAAAUCCUGAGCAUAUGAACUGGAAAAUCUAAGAUGCACAUGCAGAUGUUUCUGAGCAUGUGUUUUUUGAAACAUCUGUGUGUAAGGUACAUGGUCACAUACAGCUCACUGUAAUGUCAUGUCUACAGAAUGUGCACCAUCCUACUGACAACUCCCUAAGGGUCAGAUUACUGAAGACAUCUGCCACAUCAUACCCUGUUUCCUACAUCCUCUCUGUCACCUUCUACUGUACAGUGGCUCCUUAUAUCUGCUGCUGACUGGAAAGGUGCACUAGAGCAACGUGGUAUGAUGGCUCUCCAGCAUGCAGAUUGCCAUGGUUGAAAUAGCUAGACUCCAAUUGUGUUGUCUGUUAGUGGAUAUCAGCCAAAGCUGGAAGGUGAGACCAAUAGGAUAGAGGUUCCAGGCCAUCCUGGGGAAGAAAAUUGCAAGAGACUUCAU